CCUAUCUGUAAAAUGGGGUGUCAUGGUGCAGUUGGCCCACCUGUAAGCACCUACAGGCCCAGUGGUGGACCAGGACCGAAUUGUGCUUGGUGCUGCACAAACACAGAACAAAAAGAUGGUCCCUGCCCCAGGGGGGCUUACAACAGCACUGCCUCUGCCUCUCCCAUUCGCAGCUGCAUGACGCAGGUUUGAAAAAGGAAACAAUAACAUCCCUUCUCCUGACCUUUGGGCAUGUCGAUCCUAAACUGAUCUUCUGAAGCAGGAGGCACUUGUAAAGAAACACAGCUACAGACACAAACAAUGAGGCUUCCACACAGCUUGAGUUCCAGCUCAC
Long non-coding RNA from Mauremys reevesii (Reeves's turtle), 334 nucleotides. RefSeq lists it as uncharacterized. NCBI's taxonomy places the organism in Eukaryota, Metazoa, Chordata, Testudines, Geoemydidae. The record is from RefSeq and is a predicted model, not a curated record. The transcript is spliced from 4 exons.